GUCUACGCCCAAGCCACCCUGAACAAGCCUGAUGUCUGAUCUCAGAGGCUAAGUAGGGUCAGGCCUGGUUAGUACUUGGAUGGGAGACCACCUAGGAAGACCAGGUGUUAUAGGCA
RNAcentral lists this ribosomal RNA (116 nucleotides) under Pteropus alecto (black flying fox). The record is from RNAcentral. Lineage: Eukaryota; Metazoa; Chordata; Mammalia; Chiroptera; Pteropodidae.